RNAcentral lists this ribosomal RNA (662 nucleotides) under alpha proteobacterium GWS-TZ-H190. RNAcentral describes it as "bacterial SSU rRNA". It matches the Rfam family "Bacterial small subunit ribosomal RNA", at positions 11 to 722 of the family's 1533-position model. The record is from RNAcentral. Lineage: Bacteria; Pseudomonadati; Pseudomonadota; Alphaproteobacteria.
GUUUGAUCCUGGCUCAGAACGAACGCUGGCGGCACGCCUAACACAUGCAAGUCGAGCGCUACUUCGGGUGGAGCGGCGGACGGGUUAGUAACGCGUGGGAACAUACCCUUUUCUACGGAAUAGCCUUUGGAAACGAAGAGUAAUACCGUAUACGCCUUCGGGGGAAAGAUUUAUCGGUUAAGGAUUGGCCCGCGUUAGAUUAGAUAGUUGGUGGGGUAACGGCCUACCAAGUCUACGAUCUAUAGCUGGUUUGAGAGGAUGAUCAGCAACACUGGGACUGAGACACGGCCCAGACUCUACGGGAGGCAGCAGUGGGGAAUCUUAGACAAUGGGCGCAAGCCUGAUCUAGCGAUGCCGCGUGAGUGAAGAAGGCCCUAGGGUCGUAAAGCUCUUUCGCCAGGGAUGAUAAUGACAGUACCUGGUAAAGAAGUUCCGGCUAACUCCGUGCCAGCAGCCGCGGUAAUACGGAGGGAACUAGCGUUGUUCGGAAUUACUGGGCGUAAAGCGCACGUAGGCGGAUCAGAAAGUAAGAGGUGAAAUCCCAGGGCUCAACCCUGGAACUGCCUUUUAAACUCCUGGUCUUGAGUUCGAGAGAGGUGAGUGGAAUUCCAAGUGUAGAGGUGAAAUUCGUAGAUAUUUGGAGGAACACCAGUGGCGAAGGC